RNAcentral lists this ribosomal RNA (792 nucleotides) under uncultured Lactobacillus sp. Its description in RNAcentral is "bacterial SSU rRNA". It matches the Rfam family "Bacterial small subunit ribosomal RNA", at positions 28 to 776 of the family's 1533-position model. The record is from RNAcentral. Lineage: Bacteria; Bacillati; Bacillota; Bacilli; Lactobacillales; Lactobacillaceae.
GACGAACGCUGGCGGCGUGCCUAAUACAUGCAAGUCGAGCGCACUGGCCCAACUGAUAUGACGUGCUUGCACUGAAUUGACGUUGGAUUACCAGUGAGCGGCGGACGGGUGAGUAACACGUGGGCAACCUGCCCUGAAGCGGGGGAUAACAUCUGGAAACAGGUGCUAAUACCGCAUAACAACGAAAACCACAUGGUUUUCGUUUCAAAGAUGGUUUCGGCUAUCACUUCAGGAUGGGCCCGCGGUGCAUUAGCUAGUUGGUAAGGUAACGGCUUACCAAGGCAAUGAUGCAUAGCCGAGUUGAGAGACUGAUCGGCCACAUUGGGACUGAGACACGGCCCAAACUCCUACGGGAGGCAGCAGUAGGGAAUCUUCCACAAUGGACGCAAGUCUGAUGGAGCAACGCCGCGUGAGUGAAGAAGGGUUUCGGCUCGUAAAGCUCUGUUGGUAGUGAAGAAAGAUAGAGGUAGUAACUGGCCUUUAUUUGACGGUAAUUACUUAGAAAGUCACGGCUAACUACGUGCCAGCAGCCGCGGUAAUACGUAGGUGGCAAGCGUUGUCCGGAUUUAUUGGGCGUAAAGCGAGUGCAGGCGGUUCAAUAAGUCUGAUGUGAAAGCCUUCGGCUCAACCGGAGAAUUGCAUCAGAAACUGUUGAACUUGAGUGCAGAAGAGGAGAGUGGAACUCCAUGUGUAGCGGUGGAAUGCGUAGAUAUAUGGAAGAACACCAGUGGCGAAGGCGGCUCUCUGGUCUGCAACUGACGCUGAGGCUCGAAAGCAUGGGUAGCGAACAGG